RNAcentral lists this non-coding RNA (30 nucleotides) under Mus musculus (house mouse). Lineage: Eukaryota; Metazoa; Chordata; Mammalia; Rodentia; Muridae. The record is from RNAcentral.
UAAUUGCUUCCUUUAAUUGAUUUGGUGAUU